Molecule: transfer RNA, 76 nt
Filed under: Oligoflexales bacterium
Lineage: Bacteria; Pseudomonadati; Bdellovibrionota; Oligoflexia; Oligoflexales
Description: tRNA-Ala
Rfam family: tRNA
About the family: Transfer RNA (tRNA) molecules are approximately 80 nucleotides in length. Their secondary structure includes four short double-helical elements and three loops (D, anti-codon, and T loops).
Source: RNAcentral
GGGGGUAUAGCUCAGUUGGUAGAGCGUUGCAAUGGCAUUGCAAAGGCCAGCGGUUCGACUCCGCUUACCUCCACCA